UGUCCAGUGGCACCUUAGAGACCAACUAAGCUUGUUCUGGGUAUAAGCUUUCGUGUGCAUGCACAAAACAAAUGUUAGUUGGUCUCUAAGGUGCCACUGGACA
This is a non-coding RNA of Podarcis lilfordi (Lilford's wall lizard), 103 nucleotides long. NCBI's taxonomy places the organism in Eukaryota, Metazoa, Chordata, Lepidosauria, Squamata, Lacertidae. The record is from the annotation of a GenBank genome assembly.